RNAcentral lists this ribosomal RNA (253 nucleotides) under uncultured bacterium. RNAcentral's name for it is "partial 16S ribosomal RNA". It matches the Rfam family "Bacterial small subunit ribosomal RNA", at positions 524 to 776 of the family's 1533-position model. The record is from RNAcentral.
GACGGGGGAUGCAAGCGUUAUCCGGAAUCACUGGGCGUAAAGCGCGCGCAGGCGGCAACCUCAGUGUCGUGUGAAAGCCCCCGGCUCAACCGGGGGAGGCCAUGGCAAACUGGGUCGCUCGAGCUGCGGAGAGGCCCCUCGAAUUGCCGGUGUAGCGGUGAAAUGCGUAGAGAUCGGCAGGAAGACCAAGGGGGAAGCCAGGGGGCUGGCCGCAGGCUGACGCUGAGGCGCGACAGCGUGGGGAGCAAACCGG